RNAcentral lists this unclassified non-coding RNA (203 nucleotides) under uncultured fungus. RNAcentral's name for it is "sequence contains ITS1". Lineage: Eukaryota; Fungi. The record is from RNAcentral.
UUGAUUCGAUUUUGUAUAACUCAGACGCUACUGAUCAAACAAGAGUUUAGGGUUCUCUGGCGGGCGCUAUCCAGCGAGAGCCGGCGGUGCGAAGCACCGACCCGCCAAAGCAACAGAUUUGAUAAACAGAGGGUGGGAGUUGGAGCCCCCGGUAGGGGCUCCUCAACUCGGUAAUGAUCCUUCCGCAGGUUCACCUACGGAAA